Molecule: long non-coding RNA, 3011 nt
Filed under: Medicago truncatula (barrel medic)
Lineage: Eukaryota; Viridiplantae; Streptophyta; Magnoliopsida; Fabales; Fabaceae
Description: long non-coding RNA (MTRU_LNC007545)
Source: RNAcentral
GCCAAUAUUAAGGUUUAUGAUAUAGACACUUUCUGUUCACAAAUUCUUGUUCUUUAUGGAUGGAAAUAGACACUUUCUGUUCCAAUAUUAUUUAUGAAAACUUGGGGAUUCCAAGUUGGCUGGAUUCAGUAAAAGUUCAGUUUUGGUUUUUUCAAAAUGGUUCGGUUCAAUAGCAGUUCGGUUCAUAACUUGUACAUAACAGUUCGGUUCAUAACUUUUACAUAACGGUUCAGUUCAAUAGCAGUUCGGUUCACUUCAGUUCAACAGUUCGGUUCAAUUUUUGGUUUUUUAGCCCACCCCUACUCAAAAUACAAUGUUUCAAACUAAGGUGGUCAAAAUAUUACUAAGUUGUUAAUUCGAUUUUGUGGUAAGAAAUAAUCAGAAUGUUGGCACAGGCGUUUGAAAGAUAUAUAAGUAAAUGGGGCUUCUCUACCAAUUAGUCUUUUCUUUUUCUUGGUACUGAGAAUAGUUGUGAAAUUAUAGAGUUCAUAAUGUCUAGGUUCUUUGUUUCCUCUUUUUGAAAGAUAUAAAAUCAAUUAGUUAUCUAGAGAUUGUGAGAGAAUAGUCAUAUCUUGAAAACUUCAGUUUUCUGAUGACAGAUAUCUUGAAAACUUCAGUUUUCCGAUGACAGUUUGGGAUUAACAUAAUCAUUCAUUCUCUGUUUGUUAUUAAUCUUAAUUGACAAAAUUGCUUUAUACACUAGUCUAGUAUGACAGGCUUGUUGGUUAAUGCAAAUAAGUAUUCAAUAAUUAACGUAUAUGUAGCUCAUAGUACAAGUGAAUUUCAUUUAGGAUAAUAUGUGUUUUCUUUCAAUAUUAAUUAACCUUAUGACAAUGCUAGUUUCUAGUGUUACUAGAUGAUUUGACCAUCUUUCCUUUGUUGGUGAACUUGAACUUGUUUCAUAUGAUGCUAGUUUUUGGAUUACUCCUAGGUUGGUUCACUAUUGUGCUCCCUAAUAUUAUAGUUCUCGCUUCUUCAAUUACCAUUAAAUCAUAUCUCUAUUAUCUUGAAACUCAUAGGUUGUAAUAUCAUUGCUCUAAAUCAUGUAGCAAUUCAAUUCUCCAAACCUUGCAGUUAUAGAAUCAGUCAGCACACUAUUUUUUAUUUUUUUUGUGGGGAUCAGGUUUUUGCACCACUCACUCAUCUGAUUAUCGUACACUUAACAUUUGUGUGAAGAACUCAUAUAUAGCUUUCAGAAACUUACAGUAAGAUUGUAAUGCAAUUCUAUGUCUCAUUACAUUUCUGUAAUUUUGGGAAUUAGAAGGAAUGCAGAAAAUGUUUGAGUAUUUUUCAAGAUGAUGAAAAGGUGUGGUUGUUAACAGAAUGUCAACAUAUUUAUCAUUACGGGUACUUGCAUAUGUGGCUUAGUGCUCAUCCUAGUUUGCCCACUUUCUAGAGCUUCCCUCUAUACCUGUUAGUAAUCAAUUUUCUAAAGAAUUUAACAUAUUAUUAAUUUCUUGGUAACUUCAUAUGUUUUAUUGCGGAAUUAAUCAUAUAAUACAUUCAAAUUUCAGUUUUCAAUUAAUGGUUACCAUUACCACUCAGUUGGUUUUGGUGCUAAUUAUUAUUUGAAACAUUUUGGUUUCUGUUCAGACAUAAUACGGACCUUUUAAUUGUGCAUAUGGUCGCUAUGUUUUUGUUGUUACUGCUUAGUGGUGUCAACUUUUGUGAUUGGCUGGGUUGAAAUGUUAACAUGAUUUAUACCUUGCAUUUAUUCCAUAGCUGCUAUGCAUUCACUAUGUGGUGUGUUGAUAGAGAGAUGUGGGAGAGGGAAGAAACUGAACGAACCACAACAGGGGAGAGACAGAGCAAAGUGAUUUAGAGAAAAAUGGCUGCAAUGUUGCGUGCGACAUAGAGAGAUGGAGUGAGAGGCCGCACUUGCGGCACAAAAAAUGAUUCAUUUUUAUGAUCCUGGCUGCGAUUUUACGAUCUUGGCUACGGUUUUCACAGCAAAUGAUUUUGUAUUGGAUCUAUUGUGGGGGACCAUUAAGAUCGCAUGAUCUUACAAUUUAAAUCGUGACUUUGAUAACCCUGAUAGUAUGCACAGAUUCAAGUUAACAAUGAUCAUCUUAUGGUUUUUUAUGUUUUAGCUCUUGCUUCUUGAUAGUGUUUAAUGGAUUACAAGAUAACUGAUUAUUCUUGUUGAAUGAUUAAUGUCAAAAUGAAAGUUUUGUAUAUUUUGGUCUUUUAUUUGCAAGGGUUUUAAAGUUGUUUUGAAGAUAUAUCAUCAUCAUAUGGUUGUGUAAAUGAUAUUAUUGAAUUCUUACACACAUGCAACACAGUGUACAAUUCAUAACAUUGGUAAAAUGACCUGAAUAUAAUUGAUUUAUUGUCUUAGAUUAUAGUGAAGUUCAUUUCCAUAUAUGUUGCCUUACAAUGUCUCAAUAUUUUAAUAUUUAUUGCACCUCAAUCCUCAAAAUAGACUUAUAACGUCAUAGUUGAAAUGUCUCUUUUUCAGGUUGGUUGUGUUUGUUCGUUUCAAUAGAAGGGUUAUUCUCUAGCUGGCUGAAUUGCUUAGGUUCAUUUGUGGGUCUGGAGCGUUGCUGAAUAUGGCGGUGAAAAAGGGUAAUAGUUUUAGGGUUGUGGAAUUCCUAAGUUCAUUUUGAUUAUUUAUUAUGGUGUAAAACUUGAUGAGGUGAAAAAACUUGUUCUGAAUAGAUAGGCUAAAUUUGUCUCUGGCUUUAUUAUUAAAUGUUGUUUGUAGGAAAAAAUACAAUCUUCAAAGUCUAAUAUGUUUGAUUUUCAUGUUUCAUCCUGUUAUUCUUGUUCUACCAGAAAAAGCUAGGAUAGUUACCAUUCUCAUAAACAAUGAAAAAUUCUAGAGUAAAAAAGUUUUUACUUGAAAGACAUGACUGCCACAUUCAUGGUUCAAAUUUUUUACAACUUUAUCUUGAAUUUAGAUAGUAAAACUUCAAAUUUUAUUUCCGGCAUGAUUAGGAUAGGCUUGAAAAUCAAACUGUAGUCAUGAUGCAGGAAAAAUUUAUCUGGACAUUGCAUAUUUUAGUAGGAGG